This 83-nucleotide transfer RNA is filed under the name Candidatus Magasanikiibacteriota bacterium. RNAcentral describes it as "tRNA-Leu". It matches the Rfam family "tRNA". Rfam says of the family: Transfer RNA (tRNA) molecules are approximately 80 nucleotides in length. The record is from RNAcentral. Lineage: Bacteria; Candidatus Magasanikiibacteriota.
GUCGGGGUGGCGGAAUGGUAGACGCUCGACACUUAAAAUGUCGCGCCCGUAAGGGCAUGAGGGUUCGACUCCCUCCCUCGACA